Molecule: non-coding RNA, 445 nt
Organism: Paramuricea clavata
Lineage: Eukaryota; Metazoa; Cnidaria; Anthozoa; Malacalcyonacea; Plexauridae
Source: the annotation of a GenBank genome assembly
CUCUGUACAAUAUUGCGAACUAUAAUUUCAACUCAAAAUUCCCAUGUUUAGCAUGAGUUCUAUUUAUUAUAUUUACAAUAAAUUUUUCUCCAUAUACCACUGAACUCAAAAGGACCUGAUGUUGGUUGUUCUAAGCUGGAUUAACCCUAAGUCUUGGAUGAGUUACUGAAGAGUAAGUUUGCUAUUUAGACAGCUGCGAGGGAGAUACAACUGCUUGAAAAGCUAAGCAAAACUUUCGAUAUUUCAAGCAAAGGCACUUCUUACCUUGAAUUCUUGUUUUAGUUUAUAUUCAAUCCAUUCGGUCACGUGAUUAAGCCGGACAUUACGUUCUCCAAGUUUCGGCUUUGCUAUCAGACUUAAUAAUGGAUUGCUAUGAAAACCAAACCUAAACAAAAACAAGUAGCAUUGAACCAAUACGGAAUGGCCUUUAUUGGACCUCUAAGGA